GGGGAGUACGUUUACAAGAAUGAAACUCAAAUGAAUUGACAGGGGCCUGCACAAGCAGUGGAGCAUGUGGUUUAAUUCGAUGCAAAGUGAAGAACCUUACGAGGGUUUGACAUGCCGCGAAUCCUCUUGAAAGAGAGGGGUGCCUUCGGGAACGCGGACACAAGUGGUGCAUGGCUGUCGUCAGCUCGUGUCGUAAUGUGUUGAGUUAAGUCCCGCAAUGAGCGCAGCCCUCGUGUUUAGUUUCCACCGUUGAGUUUGAAACCUUGAGCAGAUUGUCGAUGAUAAGCGGAGAAAGGUGAAGAUGACGUCAAGUCAUCAUGCCCCUUAUGCACUAGGCGACACACAUGCUACAAUGGACUGGACAAAGGGUCGCGAUCUCGCGAGGGUGAGCUAACUCCGAAAAAGGCAUUCGAACCUUUGUCCUCUUAUAUUGGCAACAAUGCGUAUAUCAAUCAAGCUAAGACUCAGUCGGCUUAAAAA
RNAcentral lists this non-coding RNA (480 nucleotides) under Gossypium hirsutum (cotton). Its description in RNAcentral is "Bacterial small subunit ribosomal RNA". It matches the Rfam family "Bacterial small subunit ribosomal RNA", at positions 875 to 1327 of the family's 1533-position model. The record is from Rfam by way of RNAcentral. Lineage: Eukaryota; Viridiplantae; Streptophyta; Magnoliopsida; Malvales; Malvaceae.